GGGCUAUUAGCUCAGUUGGCUAGAGCGCACCCCUGAUAAGGGUGAGGUCCCUGGUUCAAAUCCAGGAUGGCCC
This 73-nucleotide transfer RNA is filed under the name Microcoleus autumnalis CB-V. RNAcentral's name for it is "Phormidium autumnale CB-V tRNA-Ile". It matches the Rfam family "tRNA". From Rfam's summary of the family: Transfer RNA (tRNA) molecules are approximately 80 nucleotides in length. Their secondary structure includes four short double-helical elements and three loops (D, anti-codon, and T loops). The record is from RNAcentral. Lineage: Bacteria; Bacillati; Cyanobacteriota; Cyanophyceae; Oscillatoriales; Microcoleaceae.